This is a long non-coding RNA of Cervus elaphus (red deer), 1303 nucleotides long. RefSeq lists it as uncharacterized. NCBI's taxonomy places the organism in Eukaryota, Metazoa, Chordata, Mammalia, Artiodactyla, Cervidae. The record is from RefSeq and is a predicted model, not a curated record. The transcript is spliced from 5 exons.
GAUCUUAGCUCCUCGACCAAGGAUUGAACCCAAAGCUCCUCCAUUGGAAGGCAAAGUCUUGACCACUGGACCACCAGGGAAGUCCCAUGCAACUGAUUCUUAAAUCCCUACUUUAAAUCUUUUCUGGAAGAAGGCGAGGGACAGAGUCGACAAUAUAACUCAUCACUAUUCCCAUCAAAGCAGUUUCUGUGGGUUACUAUAUACUUAAUUUGACAAUCCUCAGAACAUAUUAAGGACAACCAAAUUUAUUUUUGUAGACCUUGUGGUGAGUGGCUUUGAAAAUGCUCAAUGAAGGUGGAUUUGACUUUAAGGAUUAGUUACAAGUCAGCUAAACCUGUGUCUGAUAAACAUUGUUGGUGGUCAAGUUCGCUAAUGCUGACUUUAAUCAAUGACAAGGCGUUUGAUUCAACACAGGAAAGUGACUCCGUCCUUCCCUGAAGAAGUUGUGGUCCAGUUUGAUAGAAAGACAUACAAAAGACAAUUCCAAUACAAUCUCAUCAACAACAGUACAAUCUCAUCAACAAUGAAGAAGAGGUACACCUGCCAGUGGUACCCUGAGGUGAGGAGUUGCUCAGCCUCCCUGGUGCCCUCCAGAACACGAAAGACCACCAGGCCUGCGUGCUCGGAAGCAUCUGAAUAUUUAGAGGUUGGCAGAUGCCUCAGGACCAGAUGCUGCCGGAGGCAAAUCAUAUGAUCCAGUGUGGGUAUCGCCAAGCUCCAGCACCGUCUCUUCUGAAAAGACUCUGGUCCCGUCAGUGCCUUUUCCCGGAUGACUCUGUGGACAUGCAUCUCCAGGGAUGCUCCUACCAGGAAAGUUAUGCUUUUUGAAAGUAUGUGCAUAUACCUGGGUACCUCAUGAACCAUGGUGUGGCAGGGGUCCAACAGAGGUAUGGGAUGCUGUCCUUUUGUAAGUAUCAGCUCUAAACACUGACAACUGAAAAGAGUGAUGAAACCCAGGCAUCCUAGUUUCUGUAUCUUGGAGGCCCUGGAUCCUCACAUUCCUGGUGAGUUCUGCUUUGUCUUUAUCCCUAAUGGCUCUCUGGCAGCUGAACAAAUCAUGCUUUGGGUGGCUUCCUACUAUUUUGAGGGUUGAAGAGUCUUAAGUUCCUAACAUAGCAUCAGAUGGGGAUCUUGGUGCUGAGAAUUAAGCUCAUGGAGUCUCUCUUGCACAGAGAUACUACAAAUGAGUGGAGCUGAACUUCCCUCAAGAGGCAUACUGAUGGACUGGCAUCUUGGCAAAAUGGACUCCAGCCCGCCAGGCUCCUCUGUCCAUGGGAUUCUUCAGGCAAGAAAACUGGAGUAG